RNAcentral lists this ribosomal RNA (371 nucleotides) under uncultured bacterium. RNAcentral's name for it is "bacterial SSU rRNA". It matches the Rfam family "Bacterial small subunit ribosomal RNA", at positions 111 to 478 of the family's 1533-position model. The record is from RNAcentral.
UAAUGCUUGGGAAUAUGCCUUAUGGUGGGGGACAACAGUUGGAAACGACUGCUAAUACCGCAUAACGUCUACGGACCAAAGGGGGGGAUCUUCGGACCUCUCGCCAUUUGAUUAGCCCAAGUGAGAUUAGCUAGUUGGUAAGGUAAAGGCUUACCAAGGCGACGAUCUCUAGCUGGUUUGAGAGGAUGAUCAGCCACACUGGAACUGAGACACGGUCCAGACUCCUACGGGAGGCAGCAGUGGGGAAUAUUGCACAAUGGGGGAAACCCUGAUGCAGCCAUGCCGCGUGUGUGAAGAAGGCCUUCGGGUUGUAAAGCACUUUCAGCGAGGAGGAAAGGAGUAUGUUUAAUAAACGUGCUCUGUGACGUUAC